GACAGAGGGGGCAAGCGUUGUUCGGAAUUACUGGGCGUAAAGGGCGUGUAGGCGGUUUAGCAAGUCAGAUGUGAAAUCCCGGGGCUUAACUCCGGAAGUGCAUUUGAAACUGCUAGGCUAGAGUGCAGUAGAGGUUGGCGGAAUACCCAGUGGAGAGGUGAAAAUUCGUAGAUAUUGGGUGGAACACCGGUGGCGAAGGCGGCCAACUGGGCUGUUACUGACGCUGAGGCGCGAGAGCGUGGGGAGCAAACAGG
This 254-nucleotide ribosomal RNA is filed under the name uncultured bacterium. RNAcentral's name for it is "partial 16S ribosomal RNA". It matches the Rfam family "Bacterial small subunit ribosomal RNA", at positions 524 to 776 of the family's 1533-position model. The record is from RNAcentral.